AUGGUAGUAAUCCCAAUGCUUGUGAUGAUAAUGACACUACCUACAGUGCCAAUAGUCAGCGUUCUGGUUGUUCAAAGAAGAAAGUUGUUGCCCGAGACACAUCACAUGUUUUAAGCAGAAGAGCCUAUGAUGCACAGGUAAACCAUUCCUGUCCCUUUUUCUGAACAACUGCUGGUAGUAGUAAGCUUAUAGCUCCUUGUGUGUUACUUACAAAAAAGAAGGAUCUAAUGUCCACAAAGACCAACUAAUUCUCAUUAAGGUUAGGUAUUUCUUCCCAAAUAGAACUAUGUAUUAUAUUUUAUUACCCUUACAGAUAUGAGUCUUUUUUUUUUUCUUCACAGAAUGCCUCUUCUUCAAACAGCAGCUACUCUGACAUGCAGGUAAUAAUGUAGUGUCAACUGCAUGAUAUCAAGGGGAUUUCUGAUAAAUUAGAUAUAAUUUUGAAAUUUAAAUUCUAAUAAUUUUCUUGUGCUGAAGGAUGCUAUUUUGAUUUGACAGCAUUUUCCCUAUAAUGUUAUAAUUUUGCACAGUUGUAAAUAGUGAUAUUAGGCUCAGAAAAAACAGUUUCUUCUGUU
RNAcentral lists this long non-coding RNA (575 nucleotides) under Serinus canaria (Common canary). Its description in RNAcentral is "lncRNA (ENSSCAG00000012400.1)". The record is from RNAcentral. Lineage: Eukaryota; Metazoa; Chordata; Aves; Passeriformes; Fringillidae.